GUGGGGAAUAUUGGACAAUGGGGGCAACCCUGAUCCAGCCAUGCCGCGUGUGUGAAGAAGGCCUUUUGGUUGUAAAGCACUUUAAGCGAGGAGGAGGCUUACCUGGUUAAUACCCGGGAUAAGUGGACGUUACUCGCAGAAUAAGCACCGGCUAACUCUGUGCCAGCAGCCGCGGUAAUACAGAGGGUGCAAGCGUUAAUCGGAUUUACUGGGCGUAAAGCGCGCGUAGGUGGCUAAUUAAGUCAAAUGUGAAAUCCCCGAGCUUAACUUGGGAAUUGCAUUCGAUACUGGUUAGCUAGAGUAUGGGAGAGGAUGGUAGAAUUCCAGGUGUAGCGGUGAAAUGCGUAGAGAUCUGGAGGAAUACCGAUGGCGAAGGCAGCCAUCUGGCCUAAUACUGACACUGAGGUGCGAAAGCAUGGGGAGCAAACAGG
This 431-nucleotide ribosomal RNA is filed under the name uncultured Acinetobacter sp. Its description in RNAcentral is "bacterial SSU rRNA". It matches the Rfam family "Bacterial small subunit ribosomal RNA", at positions 354 to 776 of the family's 1533-position model. Lineage: Bacteria; Pseudomonadati; Pseudomonadota; Gammaproteobacteria; Moraxellales; Moraxellaceae. The record is from RNAcentral.